UAUGAAUCCUAAAUUAUGAAUAAUUAUGAUUCAAGUUAAGAGCUCAAGUUGAAAAUUUAUGCUGUAGAGAAUAUGGAUUUAUAUGUAAUUCUUACACACAACUUGAAUAGAGUCAUCGAAAAUCGUCUCGAAUAUAAAUAAUACAAUAAUCAUCUUAAUUUGGUUUUUAGAAUUUAAAUAUAUUUAAAUAUAUAAUAACAUAAGAAUUUGAUAUUUACAGAAAAAUAGUACAUACUAAUUAGAAGUAAUAAGGAUUAAACUUCUUAUUCUGUUUACCGUUAAUGAAUUAUAACUAGAGGAGGAAUUAUAUAUAUAAAAAAUGUUUCAGAAGGGAUAGUUGACAAGUUGACAGAAGAUAUUGAUAAGAAAGAUAUAAAUUGGCCUUCAAUGUGUCCCUAUUAUUCAGUUUGUAAACGUAUUCAUCCACCUGUUGCUCCCUUCUUUUAGUCACGCUCAUACACCGGUGUUAUAUAGUAGAGUUGAUGAAAUAUCACUUUUUUGAACAUUUGUUUUUUUUUAAAGAAUAUAGAAAUGUUUAAAAUUGUCAAUUUUGUUCAAUAAAUUUUCUUUAAAAGAAUCUAUUGAAUUAUUCAUGAGAUCAUCUUUAUUCAUCAUCUAUUAAAAGAUUGUAAUUAUAUAUUCUAAAUUAUUAACAUUUCAAUCUUCUAAUAUUUUAUUUUUAUUAUUUCUCUCCUCUUCAAUUUAUAUAUGUAUCAAAGAUUUAUGAUACAUACUGAAAUUAUAUAAUAUUUUACUUUUGAUCUUUAUUACUUUCGAUUUUUUUUUCUUUUAUAUCAUAUCGUAUAAGGAUUUUUAAAUUUAUUACUAACGAAAUACACUUUUCCAAAUGUGUCAUUAAUAAAUACACAAUCAUUGGCAGAUAUAAUAUCUGUUUCUUAGAGACUAGUCUUAGAUCCAAGAAGUAAAUGUGAACCACAAGAAAACAACUCUCGAGAUCUUGUCGAUGAAUCGCCUAGCCUGGAGGAAUAAAGAGAGAAGAGAGUAGGAGUAAAGCAGGGAAUGGCAGAGAAAGGAUCUCGAGGAGAGGAAAGAGAAGAGUGAGCCGCCCCCAGCAGAGCACGCAGCCUCCGUGGAUCGCUCUGUCCCACAUCCGACUAUAGUUUACUCCAUACAAGUUCCUUUCUCUAAUUUCUAAUCGUCUAUAACAUCAUAUACUCUUGAUUUUAAUUAAUUAAAUUUUCAAUUUAAUUUAAGACAAGAAAGAAAUGAUGAAUUCUUAGAACAGAUAAAACUAUAUUUUAAUCUUUCUUAGAUAAGAACGUUUAAAUCAAAACUGAUGAUUGAUAGAAGAAUAAAUCGAAAAUAUCGGAUGUAUAUCAAAUCGAGCAGCUGUGUGGAAAAAAUAAGAGUGGACUCGAAACAAGCGAUAACGCAGGAGAAGGUGCUGUCCCAAAAGCAGACAAAAGGCAUACCCCCAACUCCUUGAGUCAAUCAUUUUAUGGGCGUUUCAAGAGACUCGGGCAUGUUUUCGUUAUUUUUUUGAAGCAAAGUGGUCUGACGAGAGAGAGAGAAUCGUAAGAAGGAGGAAGAGGAAGAGGGAAAAAGAGGAAUAAGAAAGAAAUAAAAAGAGAACGGAAGGGGAAAAAAGCGAAGAAGCAAGAAGCCGCCCCCAGCAGAGCACGCAGCCUCCGUUCUAGCUGGUUCUGUCCCACGCACUAUUAUGUUUCAUCAAAUACAUGCAAUGAAACUAUUUGUUGGCAAUACAUAUUUUUGGUAUUUUGAUUUCCAACUUGGAUCAUUUAUAUUUAUAACUAUUUUACUUAUUGUUCUGGAAUCACAAAAUUUAAGAAGAAUUUUGGCAUUCUACUUCAUUACACGAAUAUAUAAUUACAUUAUAUGCAGAAAAAGAUUUAUUCUCAAAAAUAAUAAUCUCUUGGAGGAAUUUUAUAUAUGGAUAUGAUCGAUCGAGAUUGCUCACAGAAGUUAAAUUUUAAGCGCGAAAUGUGCAAGAAAUCUCUAAAACUUUUCCAGCUAACGAUGAAAUCUUCAAACCCAGGAAAAUCUGAUGAACUGGCGACGAUGACCAUCGAUUGGUUUGGUCAUAGUCCCAAAGGACGGUAACGCGAGUCCUUUUUUGGCGUCCCGACUGACCUAAUUGGGACCACCAUGCUCGUGUCCGCUCAUUCAUCGAUCGCGGCAUGCUACCGCUCGUGUAAUUAACCCGAUUUACUGCG
This is a long non-coding RNA of Apis mellifera (honey bee), 2195 nucleotides long. RefSeq lists it as uncharacterized. The transcript is spliced from 3 exons. Lineage: Eukaryota; Metazoa; Arthropoda; Insecta; Hymenoptera; Apidae. The record is from RefSeq and is a predicted model, not a curated record.